AUUGAACGCUGGCGGCAGGCCUAACACAUGCAAGUCGAGCGGAUGAAGGGAGCUUGCUCCUGGAUUCAGCGGCGGACGGGUGAGUAAUGCCUAGGAAUCUGCCUGGUAGUGGGGGAUAACGUCCGGAAACGGGCGCUAAUACCGCAUACGUCCUGAGGGAGAAAGUGGGGGAUCUUCGGACCUCACGCUAUCAGAUGAGCCUAGGUCGGAUUAGCUAGUUGGUGGGGUAAAGGCCUACCAAGGCGACGAUCCGUAACUGGUCUGAGAGGAUGAUCAGUCACACUGGAACUGAGACACGGUCCAGACUCCUACGGGAGGCAGCAGUGGGGAAUAUUGGACAAUGGGCGAAAGCCUGAUCCAGCCAUGCCGCGUGUGUGAAGAAGGUCUUCGGAUUGUAAAGCACUUUAAGUUGGGAGGAAGGGCAGUAAGGUAAUACCUUGCUGUUUUGACGGUACCAACAGAAUAAGCACCGGCUAACUUCGUG
RNAcentral lists this ribosomal RNA (484 nucleotides) under uncultured bacterium. Its description in RNAcentral is "partial 16S ribosomal RNA". It matches the Rfam family "Bacterial small subunit ribosomal RNA", at positions 30 to 507 of the family's 1533-position model. The record is from RNAcentral.